This 97-nucleotide non-coding RNA is filed under the name Staphylococcus argenteus. It matches the Rfam family "Glycine riboswitch aptamer". Rfam says of the family: This family represents the bacterial glycine riboswitch. Glycine riboswitches usually consist of two metabolite-binding aptamers domains with similar structures in tandem. The aptamers cooperatively bind glycine to regulate the expression of downstream genes. The record is from RNAcentral. Lineage: Bacteria; Bacillati; Bacillota; Bacilli; Caryophanales; Staphylococcaceae.
GUGAUCAGUAUUAGAGAGAAUAGAGCAGUUAGACUCUAUCGCCGAAGGUGCAAGUAAUUAUUACGAAACUCUCAGGCAAAAGGAUAAUACUGUAACG